Molecule: ribosomal RNA, 497 nt
Filed under: uncultured bacterium
Lineage: Bacteria
Description: partial 16S ribosomal RNA
Rfam family: Bacterial small subunit ribosomal RNA
Source: RNAcentral
GAUGAACGCUGGCGGCGUGCCUAAUACAUGCAAGUCGAGCGAACAGACGAGGAGCUUGCUCCUCUGACGUUAGCGGCGGACGGGUGAGUAACACGUGGAUAACCUACCUAUAAGACUGGGAUAACUUCGGGAAACCGGAGCUAAUACCGGAUAAUAUAUUGAACCGCAUGGUUCAAUAGUGAAAGACGGUUUUGCUGUCACUUAUAGAUGGAUCCGCGCCGCAUUAGCUAGUUGGUAAGGUAACGGCUCACCAAGGCAACGAUGCGUAGCCGACCUGAGAGGGUGAUCGGCCACACUGGAACUGAGACACGGUCCAGACUCCUACGGGAGGCAGCAGUAGGGAAUCUUCCGCAAUGGGCGAAAGCCUGACGGAGCAACGCCGCGUGAGUGAUGAAGGUCUUCGGAUCGUAAAACUCUGUUAUUAGGGAAGAACAAAUGUGUAAGUAACUAUGCCCGUCUUGACGGUACCUAAUCAGAAAGCCACGGCUAACUACGUG